Molecule: non-coding RNA, 1173 nt
Organism: Onthophagus taurus
Lineage: Eukaryota; Metazoa; Arthropoda; Insecta; Coleoptera; Scarabaeidae
Source: RefSeq, a predicted model, not a curated record
GUUCAUUCUGACAAAUUCGAAUACAAACAAAGCAACAUAACCUCUUUUACCAGGAGGAAAUUAAUUGAGUAAAAAUCUAUGGAAAAGAAUUAUAUCGGCAAGAUAUUGGUGACAUAAACCAUCAAAAGGAACAAGAAUGAACUAGAAGGAGAACUAAAGUGAUUUAUUGUGAAAAAUUUAUUGAUUUAAAACAGUAAUCACAUUCAACAGGUACCACAUUAAAAAGAUACUUUCUAUAAUGGUGUAGAGACAAGCUCGAAGUCACUGAUUAAUGUUGAGGUUGGCGGAUGUUUUGACAAGUUUCAAAUACAAACAAUUCAACAUAACCUCACUUUUAUUUCUUAUUAAAUCAAUUAAGCUUUUUAUGAACAAAACACCUUUCAAAAACUUAUUUGUAACUUUUUCAAUUACCUUUGGAAACUAAUCUUAUGAUAUAAAUAGACUGGUAAGCCAAGUAUAGCCAGAAGAUAAUUUUCUAUUAAUAAAGGUUGGCGCAAUUUUUGACAAGAUUCAAAUACAAACAAAUCAACAUAACCUCACUUCUAUUCCUGAUUAAAUCAAUUAAGCUUUUUGUGGCCAAAAAUGAAGGGGAAAUUGGGAUUAACGUCUCUUGGAAACAUUAUAGAAACUCGUUUUCCAAUUUACUUUGGAAGCUAAUCGUAGAGUAUAAACUGGUAAACUGAUCAUAUCGAGAAGAUAAUUUUCUAUAAAUAAAGGUUGGCGGAAUUUUUGACAAGAUUCAAAUACAAACAAAUCAACAUAACCUCACUUCUAUUCCUGAUUAAAUCAAUUAAGGUUUUUGUGGGCAAAAAUGAAGAGGAAAUUGGGAUUAACACCUCUUGGAAACAUUAUAGAAACUCGUUUCCCAAUUUACUUUGGAAGCUAGUCGUAGAGUAUAAACUGGUAAACUGAUCAUAUCGAGAAGAUAAUUUUCUAUAAAUAAAGGUUGGCGGAAUUUUUGACACAAUUUUCAAAUACAAACAAAUCAACAUAACCUCACUUUUAUUUCUCAAUAACUUAAUUAAACGUUUUAAUACAAAAAUGAAGAAGAAAAUAAGGUUAACACCUCUCAAAAACUUUAUACAAACUCGUUUCCCAAUUAACCUCGGAAGCUAAUCGCAAGAUAUAAACCGGUAAGCCGAUCAUAUCAGGAAGAUAAUUUUCAAUUAAUAA